Long non-coding RNA from Solea senegalensis (Senegalese sole), 506 nucleotides. RefSeq lists it as uncharacterized. The transcript has 3 exons. NCBI's taxonomy places the organism in Eukaryota, Metazoa, Chordata, Actinopteri, Pleuronectiformes, Soleidae. The record is from RefSeq and is a predicted model, not a curated record.
AGGAAAAUGGUCAGAUAAUGAGAAUGAAUGUGAGAAAGGACCAGUCAUGAAUUUUUCUUCUUGGUUUUGGCAGAUUAAUUCACUUGCAUGAAAGAUUUUUUUUUUCAAAACAGUUCAAAUUGAAGGCCAUUCAUCGAGUCAUUGAAAAAAAAAAAAACCAAAGAUUCUAUGAUGUAAAGUCAUCCUGGCUUUGUUUCCCCCCUCUCCCCCUCAAGGCCUCUCUGACACAUUUGCAUGCAGGGAGUUUUCCAUGGAGUUGAUAAGACCUGGGAUAAAGGCUGAGUCCUGAGAAAAUGCUGCAGUUCAAGCAGGUCAAAUUGUGGCUCCUCCUCACUGUCUAGUGUGGCCUAGAUCUGUUUGUCCUGACAAGGUAAGAGAACGGUGUUUAUUUUGAUUAUACAUCAAUUAUGGUGCCAAGCUUCCUGCUCUCUAGAAGGAAACCAACCAUUUUUAGAACAGGUGCUGUCAGAAUUCUUCUUCCCCGUUCAUUAUCUACACUGGCAGGU